Molecule: ribosomal RNA, 250 nt
Filed under: uncultured bacterium
Lineage: Bacteria
Also listed under: 1 other name
Description: partial 16S ribosomal RNA
Rfam family: Bacterial small subunit ribosomal RNA
Source: RNAcentral
UACGUAGGGUGCGAGCGUUGUCCGGAUUUAUUGGGCGUAAAGGGCUCGUAGGUGGUUGAUCGCGUCGGAAGUGUAAUCUUGGGGCUUAACCCUGAGCGUGCUUUCGAUACGGGUUGACUUGAGGAAGGUAGGGGAGAAUGGAAUUCCUGGUGGAGCGGUGGAAUGCGCAGAUAUCAGGAGGAACACCAGUGGCGAAGGCGGUUCUCUGGGCCUUUCCUGACGCUGAGGAGCGAAAGCGUGGGGAGCGAAC